UAAGCCUGCGAAGGUGGCCUGUGAGGGUUGCUGGAGGUAUCAGAAGUGCGAAUGCUGACAUAAGUAACGAUAAAGCGGGUGAAAAGCCCGCUCGCCGGAAGACCAAGGGUUCCUGUCCAACGUUAAUCGGGGCAGGGUGAGUCGACCCCUAAGGCGAGGCCGAAAGGCGUAGUCGAUGGGAAACGGGUUAAUAUUCCCGUACUUGGUGUUACUGCGAAGGGGGGACGGAGAAGGCUAUGUUGGCCGGGCGACGGUUGUCCCGGUUUAAGCGUGUAGGUGUGUGUUCCAGGUAAAUCCGGUUCACUUUAACACUGAGGCGUGACGACGAGGCACUACGGUGCUGAAGCAACAAAUGCCCUGCUUCCAGGAAAAGCCUCUAAGCAUCAGGUAACAUCAAAUCGUACCCCAAACCGACA
This 416-nucleotide ribosomal RNA is filed under the name Salmonella enterica subsp. enterica serovar Rubislaw. RNAcentral describes it as "partial 23S ribosomal RNA". It matches the Rfam family "Bacterial large subunit ribosomal RNA", at positions 1243 to 1659 of the family's 2925-position model. Lineage: Bacteria; Pseudomonadati; Pseudomonadota; Gammaproteobacteria; Enterobacterales; Enterobacteriaceae. The record is from RNAcentral.